Molecule: long non-coding RNA, 525 nt
Organism: Anguilla rostrata (American eel)
Lineage: Eukaryota; Metazoa; Chordata; Actinopteri; Anguilliformes; Anguillidae
Exons: 5
Source: RefSeq, a predicted model, not a curated record
GUAGGGUUUGGGGUAAUUGGCAGGUAAUUGGGUAGGGUUUAGGGUGAUGGGGAGGGGUUUGGGGUGAUUGGGGUGCAGUUUACGGGUAAGUGGCAGGUGAUAGGGGUGUGGUUUAAGGUGACUGGCAGGUGAUGGGGUGGGGUUUAAGAUGAAUGGCAGGUGAUGGGGUGGGAUUUCUGGUGAUUGGCAGGUGAUGGGGUGGGGUUUAAGGUGACUGGCAGGUGAUGGGGGUGGGGUGUAAGGUGACUGGCAGGUGAUGGGGGUGGGGUGUAAGGUGACUGGCAGGUGAUGGGGUGGGAUUUCUGGUGAUUGGCAGGUGAUGGGGUGGGGUUUUGGGUGAUUAGCAGGUGAUUGGGUGGUAUUUCUGGUGAUCGCCAGGUGAUGGGGUGGGAUUUCUGGUGAUUGGCAGGUGAUGGGGGUGGGGUUUAAGGUGAUUGGCAGGUGAUGGGGUGGGGUGUAAGGUGACUGGCAGGUGAUGGGGGUGGGGUUUAAGGUGAUUGGCAGGUGAUGGGGUGGGUUUUGGUG